UCAAGGCUCACGGCAUUUCCU
Molecule: microRNA, 21 nt
Filed under: Echinococcus granulosus
Lineage: Eukaryota; Metazoa; Platyhelminthes; Cestoda; Cyclophyllidea; Taeniidae
Description: egr-miR-10236-3p
Source: miRBase by way of RNAcentral